AAAAAAACGAAUAAAUGUUGGUGGCUAUUUCCGGUAGCCAAUUUUUCCUAGCCUGACGCUGACCAUCGUCCGAAAGGUUUCACUGGAGGAAAAUUCGCAGACUCGAAGCAACUCCGCCGUGCAUCUAUGAGGCAAGAAUCGUCAGUGCAUCUGCAUAAUUGUUCAUUAUAUUCGCGAACGAAAUGAAGAUACAUGAAUUAUAUAUUAUGUAGCCAUAGAUGAUGUAUUUUCUAGAAUAAUUGUUUUGGUCAUUCGAUACGAAACAUCUUGAAGUAUUUAUUGUAACACAUAUCUUGUAGA
Molecule: unclassified non-coding RNA, 300 nt
Filed under: Athalia rosae (coleseed sawfly)
Lineage: Eukaryota; Metazoa; Arthropoda; Insecta; Hymenoptera; Athaliidae
Description: misc RNA ENSAEAG00005008801.1
Source: RNAcentral